This 571-nucleotide ribosomal RNA is filed under the name uncultured bacterium. RNAcentral describes it as "partial 16S ribosomal RNA". It matches the Rfam family "Bacterial small subunit ribosomal RNA", at positions 356 to 920 of the family's 1533-position model. The record is from RNAcentral.
UGGGGAAUUUGGACAAUGGGCGAAAGCCUGAUCCAGCAAUGCCGCGUGUGUGAAGAAGGCCUUCGGGUUGUAAAGCACUUUUGUCCGGAAAGAAAUCCUUGGCUCUAAUACAGUCGGGGGAUGACGGUACCGGAAGAAUAAGCACCGGCUAACUACGUGCCAGCAGCCGCGGUAAUACGUAGGGUGCAAGCGUUAAUCGGAAUUACUGGGCGUAAAGCGUGCGCAGGCGGUUUGCUAAGACCGAUGUGAAAUCCCCGGGCUCAACCUGGGAACUGCAUUGGUGACUGGCAGGCUAGAGUAUGGCAGAGGGGGGUAGAAUUCCACGCGUAGCAGUGAAAUGCGUAGAGAUGUGGAGGAAUACCGAUGGCGAAGGCAGCCCCCUGGGCCAAUACUGACGCUCAUGCACGAAAGCGUGGGGAGCAAACAGGAUUAGAUACCCUGGUAGUCCACGCCCUAAACGAUGUCAACUAGUUGUUGGGGAUUCAUUUCCUUAGUAACGUAGCUAACGCGUGAAGUUGACCGCCUGGGGAGUACGGUCGCAAGAUUAAAACUCAAAUGAAUUGACGGGGUC